AACGCACAUUGCGCCCCCUGGCAUUCCGGGGGGCAUGCCUGUCCGAGCGUCAUUGCUGCCCAUCAAGCCCGGCUUGUGUGUUGGGUCGUCGUCCCCCCCGGGGGACGGGCCCGAAAGGCAGCGGCGGCACCGUGUCCGGUCCUCGAGCGUAUGGGGCUUUGUCACCCGCUCGAUUUAGGGCCGGCCGGGCGCCAGCCGACGUCCAACCAUUUUUCUUCAGGUUGACCUCGGAUCAGGUAGGGAUACCCGCUGAACUUAA
Molecule: unclassified non-coding RNA, 259 nt
Filed under: uncultured fungus
Lineage: Eukaryota; Fungi
Description: partial contains 5.8S ribosomal RNA, internal transcribed spacer 2, and large subunit ribosomal RNA
Source: RNAcentral